CCUACGGGGAGCAGCAGUGGGGAAUAUUGGACAAUGGGCGAAAGCCUGAUCCAGCCAUGCCGCGUGUGUGAAGAAGGCCUUCGGGUUGUAAAGCACUUUCAGUGGGGAAGAAAGCCUUGGGGCUAAUACCCUCGAGGAAGGACAUCACCCACACAAGAAGCACCGGCUAACUCCGUGCCAGCAGCCGCGGUAAUACGGAGGGUGCGAGCGUUAAUCGGAAUUACUUGGCGUAAAGCGCGCGUAGGCGGUCUGAUAAGCCGGUUGUGAAAGCCCCGGGCCCAACCUGGGAACGGCAUCCGGAACUGUCAGGCUAGAGUGCAGGAGAGGAAGGUAGAAUUCCCGGUGUAGCGGUGAAAUGCGUAGAGAUCGGGAGGAAUACCAGUGGCGAAGGCGGCCUUCUGGACUGACACUGACGCUGAGGUGCGAAAGCGUGGGUAGCAAACAGGAUUAGAUACCCUUGUAGUC
Molecule: ribosomal RNA, 465 nt
Filed under: Vreelandella stevensii
Lineage: Bacteria; Pseudomonadati; Pseudomonadota; Gammaproteobacteria; Oceanospirillales; Halomonadaceae
Description: partial 16S ribosomal RNA
Rfam family: Bacterial small subunit ribosomal RNA
Source: RNAcentral